This 492-nucleotide ribosomal RNA is filed under the name uncultured bacterium. RNAcentral's name for it is "partial 16S ribosomal RNA". It matches the Rfam family "Bacterial small subunit ribosomal RNA", at positions 29 to 507 of the family's 1533-position model. The record is from RNAcentral.
AGUGAACGCUGGCGGUAGGCCUAACACAUGCAAGUCGAACGGCAGCACAGUAAGAGCUUGCUCUUACGGGUGGCGAGUGGCGGACGGGUGAGGAAUACAUCGGAAUCUACUUUUUCGUGGGGGAUAACGUAGGGAAACUUACGCUAAUACCGCAUACGACCUACGGGUGAAAGCAGGGGAUCUUCGGACCUUGCGCGAUUGAAUGAGCCGAUGUCGGAUUAGCUAGUUGGCGGGAUAAAGGCCCACCAAGGCGACGAUCCGUAGCUGGUCUGAGAGGAUGAUCAGCCACACUGGAACUGAGACACGGUCCAGACUCCUACGGGAGGCAGCAGUGGGGAAUAUUGGACAGUGGGCGCAAGCCUGAUCCAGCCAUACCGCGUGGGUGAAGAAGGCCUUCGGGUUGUAAAGCCCUUUUGUUGGGAAAGAAAAGCAGCAGGUUAAUACCCCGCUGUUCCGACGGUACCCAAAGAAUAAGCACCGGCUAACUUCGUG